Molecule: long non-coding RNA, 1466 nt
Organism: Chrysolophus pictus (golden pheasant)
Lineage: Eukaryota; Metazoa; Chordata; Aves; Galliformes; Phasianidae
Source: Ensembl
CUUUGAUGGUGUGAUGGCUUUGAAAAGUUUAAUUUUCUUAAUGCCUUUAUUCCACGAGUAGCAUACAGCACUGCCUCAGUGCAUUGCUGGCUCUCAGUACAAACCUGUUGCUGCUCCCUUUUGGCAUGAGGAGAGCAGCAUUAUGUGCCCCAGAGCUCUGCCACUGUGCUCUCCAAACAGAGAGGUCUGUGCAAUGCCUGCCAUGUAGAAACACACAGAGAAGUGGCCAGCAAGGUGCCAGGAUGGAAAAAUGAACUCAUUUUCCAGGACCCACGCCAAGUCUCUAGAUCCCUUGCCCCUUGGGGCAGUGUGGAGGAGAAGAUCUGGUAUGCCAGCUGUUGACGGAAUGACUUCUUCUGGUCCAGGUUCCUGGUUCACCACAGAGGAUGCAAUGAGGAAACCAGUGCAUUCGAAGCCACCUAUGUCACUGGGUAUGUACACGAGCAUGUACAAGAAGGAGUACAAAUGGCCUGAGGAAAGCAAACCACCCACUGAGGAGGACGUGAAGAAGCUCAGAGCCAAGGAGUUUGCCGUGCCCCAGGAGCCACAGGCAAUGCCAUACUAUGACAAAGCUCUCGGGGAAGGGAGAGAAGUCAAACAAAUUGAGAAGCAAGAAGGCAUUACCCUCAGUCCCAGAGUGCUGCAGCAGGCUCAUGAAGAGCAGAGAAAGCACUUCGGUUCAGACCUCCCCCUUGCAGAAAGCCAUGCACCAAAGCAGUACCUCACCACUGAACUGACAGCAACCCAGGCGGACAGACCAGAGAGGCCACAGGCUCCCAGUGGGCUGGAAAAGGGACUAUCUUCUUCCCAGCAUCUUCAAGCCGCUGUUGGUGGCCCAGGAGCAACAGGGAUGUUGCUAUAUAGGCAGAAGCUGGAUCCCACCUGGGGUACCUACCAGCACUUCAUGCUGGAGGCAGGCCAGGCCCUGCAAGAUGAGGCUCAGCAGAACAAGAAUGUGGCCCUGGCCUCGUCAGUUUUGGUGAAAGAGUGCUUUGACCAUGACCGGAGAAGUACCUACAGCAUCGACUUCCAGCACCAGCCUGCAGCCUACACUGGAAGCUGUAUAGCAAAUAAGAAUCUAUCUCACAUUUUCACUGAAGCUGAACACUUCCACCAGAACCGCUGGGUGUCUGAAUACAAGGACAACUACAGCAUUUGCUUGCAGAAGCUGAAUUGGGCAUCUCAAGGCCGCACUGCAGAGCUUGGCUCUGCCUUGAAGCCCCAGGGGCUGUCCUCCCAGAGUGAGGUUGCACCAGGCACAGCCCAAUGAGCGCUGCUCCACGCUCCCUGUUCUCCAAGCUGAGGGAUAUUUUCCAUCAGAGAUCCUGGAAGCCUGGAAACCUCUAUUCCAAACCCACCAUUACCAAAUACUUUUAAAGUGUUCAGCAGAAACCUUUUUACACACAUAUUUCAUGAAGAAACCUGAGCUUUUCUCAUUGUCAGAAAUAAAAAGUGUUUUUUGGACA